RNAcentral lists this ribosomal RNA (531 nucleotides) under Rhodotorula mucilaginosa. RNAcentral's name for it is "eukaryotic LSU rRNA". It matches the Rfam family "Eukaryotic large subunit ribosomal RNA", at positions 62 to 589 of the family's 3401-position model. The record is from RNAcentral. Lineage: Eukaryota; Fungi; Basidiomycota; Microbotryomycetes; Sporidiobolales; Sporidiobolaceae.
AAACUAACAAGGAUUCCCCUAGUAGCGGCGAGCGAAGCGGGAAGAGCUCAAAUUUAUAAUCUGGCACCUUCGGUGUCCGAGUUGUAAUCUCUAGAAAUGUUUUCCGCGUUGGACCGCACACAAGUCUGUUGGAAUACAGCGGCAUAGUGGUGAGACCCCCGUAUAUGGUGCGGACGCCCAGCGCUUUGUGAUACAUUUUCGAAGAGUCGAGUUGUUUGGGAAUGCAGCUCAAAUUGGGUGGUAAAUUCCAUCUAAAGCUAAAUAUUGGCGAGAGACCGAUAGCGAACAAGUACCGUGAGGGAAAGAUGAAAAGCACUUUGGAAAGAGAGUUAACAGUACGUGAAAUUGUUGGAAGGGAAACGCUUGAAGUCAGACUUGCUUGCCGAGCAAUCGGUUUGCAGGCCAGCAUCAGUUUUCCGGGAUGGAUAAUGGUAGAGAGAAGGUAGCAGUUUCGGCUGUGUUAUAGCUCUCUGCUGGAUACAUCUUGGGGGACUGAGGAACGCAGUGUGCCUUUGGCGGGGGUUUCGACCU